AGAGUUUGAUCCUGGCUCAGGAUGAACGCUGGCGGUGUGCCUAAUACAUGCAAGUCGAGCGAACGGACGAGAAGCUUGCUUCUCUGAUGUUAGCGGCGGACGGGUGAGUAACACGUGGAUAACCUACCUAUAAGACUGGGAUAACUUCGGGAAACCGGAGCUAAUACCGGAUAAUAUUUUGAACCGCAUGGUUCAAAAGUAAAAGACGGUCUUGCUGUCACUUAUAGAUGGAUCCGCGCUGCAUUAGCUAGUUGGUAAGGUAACGGCUUACCAAGGCAACGAUGCAUAGCCGACCUGAGAGGGUGAUCGGCCACACUGGAACUGAGACACGGUCCAGACUCCUACGGGAGGCAGCAGUAGGGAAUCUUCCGCAAUGGGCGAAAGCCUGACGGAGCAACGCCGCGUGAGUGAUGAAGGUCUUCGGAUCGUAAAACUCUGUUAUUAGGGAAGAACAUAUGUGUAAGUAACUGUGCACAUCUUGACGGUACCUAAUCAGAAAGCCACGGCUAACUACGUGCCAGCAGCCGCGGUAAUACGUAGGUGGCAAGCGUUAUCCGGAAUUAUUGGGCGUAAAGCGCGCGUAGGCGGUUUUUUAAGUCUGAUGUGAAAGCCCACGGCUCAACCGUGGAGGGUCAUUGGAAACUGGAAAACUUGAGUGCAGAAGAGGAAAGUGGAAUUCCAUGUGUAGCGGUGAAAUGCGCAGAGAUAUGGAGGAACACCAGUGGCGAAGGCGACUUUCUGGUCUGUAACUGACGCUGAUGUGCGAAAGCGUGGGGAUCAAACAGGAUUAGAUACCCUGGUAGUCCACGCCGUAAACGAUGAGUGCUAAGUGUUAGGGGGUUUCCGCCCCUUAGUGCUGCAGCUAACGCAUUAAGCACUCCGCCUGGGGAGUACGACCGCAAGGUUGAAACUCAAAGGAAUUGACGGGGACCCGCACAAGCGGUGGAGCAUGUGGUUUAAUUCGAAGCAACGCGAAGAACCUUACCAAAUCUUGACAUCCUUUGACAACUCUAGAGAUAGAGC
RNAcentral lists this ribosomal RNA (1023 nucleotides) under Staphylococcus aureus M0329. RNAcentral describes it as "bacterial SSU rRNA". It matches the Rfam family "Bacterial small subunit ribosomal RNA", at positions 8 to 1012 of the family's 1533-position model. Lineage: Bacteria; Bacillati; Bacillota; Bacilli; Caryophanales; Staphylococcaceae. The record is from RNAcentral.